Molecule: long non-coding RNA, 608 nt
Filed under: Homo sapiens (human)
Lineage: Eukaryota; Metazoa; Chordata; Mammalia; Primates; Hominidae
Description: non-protein coding LINC02290:20
Source: RNAcentral
AAUCACUGUGGCCUGGAGGAUGGGACACCAUGAUUUGCAAGACUCUGGUCACAUGCCCACACCUGUGGCUUCUGAAGCAGAGCACCAGCAGUGACAGUCCCACCAGAACCGCAUGGAAUAGAAAACUGUGCAUUUCCCUAAGGAAAGGGAAUGCCAGAGAAGGGCAGAAGGGAAAUCAGGAAGACAAAACGGUAAAUUACCUACCACAAAUCCAAUUCAUUGGUAUUUUUCCACUUACACUUAACCAAGCAACGAUUUCUCCUGGUCCCAUAAUGGAAAAGAGGGUUUAUCUAGAUUCAUAUAUACAAGACUGAAGAGUGAAGAGAGACCCAGAGAAUGUUCUAAAAUCUGCCAGUUAGCAUAAUCACACAGAGAAAUCUCUGCUUCCAGAGGAGGAGCCAAGUUCAAGUCAGAGUGUCUUCAUGUUGGAGUGGACCUUUCCUCUAUCUGUCAACAGAAUGGAUAAAUUGUGGAAGAGUAAUAUCAGAAUACUACACAUCAGUAAAAAACAACAAACUUCUGCUACAAACAAUCAACAUCGAUGAAUCUUUCAGGCAAAAGGGCAAAGAAAAGUAUUGGUCUUCCAAAACAAAUAGAGGACGGAGCUG